This 1405-nucleotide ribosomal RNA is filed under the name Salegentibacter sp. RNAcentral's name for it is "bacterial SSU rRNA". It matches the Rfam family "Bacterial small subunit ribosomal RNA". Lineage: Bacteria; Pseudomonadati; Bacteroidota; Flavobacteriia; Flavobacteriales; Flavobacteriaceae. The record is from RNAcentral.
UAACACAUGCAAGUCGAGGGGUAACAUAGGAAAGCUUGCUUUUCUGAUGACGACCGGCGCACGGGUGCGUAACGCGUAUACAACCUACCUUUUAGCGGGGAAUAGCCCAGGGAAACUUGGAUUAAUGCCUCAUAGUAUAUAAACUUCUCCUGAAGUUUUAUUAAACAUUUAUGGCUAUUAGAUGGGUAUGCGUCCUAUUAGUUAGUUGGUAAGGUAACGGCUUACCAAGGCAGCGAUAGGUAGGGGUCCUGAGAGGGAGAUCCCCCACACUGGUACUGAGACACGGACCAGACUCCUACGGGAGGCAGCAGUGAGGAAUAUUGGACAAUGGGCGAGAGCCUGAUCCAGCCAUGCCGCGUGCAGGAAGACUGCCCUAUGGGUUGUAAACUGCUUUUACAGAGGAAGAACCACCCCCACGUGUGGGGGUUUGACGGUACUCUGCGAAUAAGGAUCGGCUAACUCCGUGCCAGCAGCCGCGGUAAUACGGAGGAUCCAAGCGUUAUCCCGAAUCAUUGGGUUUAAAGGGUCCGUAGGCGGGCAGUUAAGUCAGUGGUGAAAGUCUUCCGCUCAACGGGAGAACUGCCAUUGAUACUGAUUGUCUUGAGUUAUUAUGAAGUGGUUAGAAUGAGUAGUGUAGCGGUGAAAUGCAUAGAUAUUACUCAGAAUACCGAUUGCGAAGGCAGAUCACUAAUAAUAUACUGACGCUGAUGGACGAAAGCGUAGGUAGCGAACAGGAUUAGAUACCCUGGUAGUCUACGCCGUAAACGAUGGUUACUAGCUGUUCGGCCCAAUUGAGGGCUGAGUGGUUAAGCGAAAGUGAUAAGUAACCCACCUGGGGAGUACGUUCGCAAGAAUGAAACUCAAAGGAAUUGACGGGGGCCCGCACAAGCGGUGGAGCAUGUGGUUUAAUUCGAUGAUACGCGAGGAACCUUACCAGGGCUUAAAUGUAGUCUGACAGGUCUGGAAACAGACUUUUCUUCGGACAGAUUACAAGGUGCUGCAUGGUUGUCGUCAGCUCGUGCCGUGAGGUGUCAGGUUAAGUCCUAUAACGAGCGCAACCCCUGUGGUUAGUUGCCAGCGAGUAAUGUCGGGAACUCUAGCCAGACUGCCGGUGCAAACCGCGAGGAAGGUGGGGAUGACGUCAAAUCAUCACGGCCCUUACGUCCUGGGCCACACACGUGCUACAAUGGUAGGGACAGAGAGCAGCCACUUCGCGAGAAGGAGCGAAUCUACAAACCCUAUCACAGUUCGGAUCGCAGUCUGCAACUCGACUGCGUGAAGCUGGAAUCGCUAGUAAUCGCAUAUCAGCCAUGAUGCGGUGAAUACGUUCCCGGGCCUUGUACACACCGCCCGUCAAGCCAUGGAAGCCGGGGGUACCUGAAGUCGGUCACCGCAAGGAGCCGCC